RNAcentral lists this ribosomal RNA (461 nucleotides) under uncultured Synechococcus sp. RNAcentral describes it as "bacterial SSU rRNA". It matches the Rfam family "Bacterial small subunit ribosomal RNA", at positions 40 to 536 of the family's 1533-position model. Lineage: Bacteria; Bacillati; Cyanobacteriota; Cyanophyceae; Synechococcales; Synechococcaceae. The record is from RNAcentral.
CGGUCUUGCUUAACCCAUGCAAGUUCGGACGGGAGGUCUUGGGAACCUUGUUGGCGGACGGGUGAGUAACGCGUGCGAUUAAGAAAAAAGAGAUGGGGACAGAGCUGGAAAGGGCUGCUAAUCUCCUUUGAAAACGAGAGGUGAAACUUAUAUGGCCUGAGGAUGAGCUCGCGUCUGAUUAGCUAGUUGGAGUGGUAACGGUCCCCCCAGGAGACGAUCAGUAGCUGGUCUGAGAGGAUGAUCAGCCACACUGGGACUGAGACACGGCCCAGACUCCUACGGGAGGCAGCAGUGGGGAAUUUUCCGCAAUGGGCGAAAGCCUGACGGACCAAGACCGCGCGAGGGAGGAAGGCCUACUGGUUGUAAACCUCUUUUGACAGGGAAGAAGACAAUGACGGUACCUGUCGAAUCAGCCUCGGCUAACUCCGUGCCAGCAGCCGCGGUAAUAAUCUAUAUGCAUU